Molecule: transfer RNA, 108 nt
Filed under: Dactylellina haptotyla CBS 200.50
Lineage: Eukaryota; Fungi; Ascomycota; Orbiliomycetes; Orbiliales; Orbiliaceae
Rfam family: tRNA
About the family: Transfer RNA (tRNA) molecules are approximately 80 nucleotides in length. Their secondary structure includes four short double-helical elements and three loops (D, anti-codon, and T loops).
Source: Rfam by way of RNAcentral
GGUUGAAUAGUGUAGUUGGUUAUCACAUCGGAUUUUGAUUCGGCCUCCGGGCUCUCCAGGCCUCUUCGAAAGAUUCCGGGAACUUGGGUUCGAAUCCCAGUUCGACCU